UACGUAGGUGGCGAGCGUUGUCCGGAUUUACUGGGCGUAAAGGGCGUGCAGGCGGUUUGUUAAGUGCAGGGUGAAAGCUCCCGGCUCAACUGGGAGAGGUCCUUGCAUACUGGCGAACUCGAGGUAUGCAGGGGAGAACGGAAUUCCUGGUGUAGCGGUGAAAUGCGCAGAUAUCAGGAGGAACACCGGUGGCGAAGGCGGUUCUCUGGGCAUGACCUGACGCUGAGGAGCGAAAGCGUGGGGAGCGAACAGG
RNAcentral lists this ribosomal RNA (253 nucleotides) under uncultured bacterium. RNAcentral's name for it is "partial 16S ribosomal RNA". It matches the Rfam family "Bacterial small subunit ribosomal RNA", at positions 524 to 776 of the family's 1533-position model. The record is from RNAcentral.